AUACCUUUCUCGGCCUUUUGGCUAAGAUCAAGUGUAGUAUCUGUUCUUAUCAGUUUAAUAUCUGAUAUGUGGCUCAAUGGGUCACAUGAUAUUAAAUUACUUUUUUGAGGGGGAGAAGUCAUCACAAUAGCUUGCUAUUGAACUUCUUGAGUGUCGCUUAUGCGUUGCACUAUUGCAUAGGCUGGCGCACCCCACCAAUCUUAGUUCAAUUAUUAAUUAAUUGCAUGCAUUGGUGUACUUUACCAAUCUUAGUUCAUUUUUGUUUUAGCUGCUAAAAAGCUUCUUAUUGGCGCUCCCGUAUUUUGUAGUUCUUA
Molecule: small nuclear RNA, 314 nt
Filed under: Medicago truncatula (barrel medic)
Lineage: Eukaryota; Viridiplantae; Streptophyta; Magnoliopsida; Fabales; Fabaceae
Description: lncRNA gene50485
Rfam family: U2 spliceosomal RNA (bases 1-195)
About the family: U2 is a small nuclear RNA (snRNA) component of the spliceosome (involved in pre-mRNA splicing).
Source: RNAcentral